AUUUAUAUAGUUUAAUUAAAACCCUACAUUUUCAUUGUAAAAAUAAAGAAUUUUCUUUUAUAAAUU
This 66-nucleotide transfer RNA is filed under the name Coenomyia ferruginea. RNAcentral's name for it is "tRNA-Glu". Lineage: Eukaryota; Metazoa; Arthropoda; Insecta; Diptera; Xylophagidae. The record is from RNAcentral.